UACGGGGGGAGCAAGCGUUGUUCGGAUUUACUGGGCGUAAAGGGCGCGUAGGCGGCGUGACAAGUCACUUGUGAAAUCUCCGGGCUUAACUCGGAACGGUCAAGUGAUACUGUCGUGCUAGAGUACAGAAGGGGCAACUGGAAUUCUCGGUGUAGCGGUGAAAUGCGUAGAUAUCAAGAGGAACACCUGCGGCGAAGGCGGGUUGCUGGGCCGACACUGACGCUGAGGCGCGAAAGCUAGGGGAGCGAACGGG
Molecule: ribosomal RNA, 253 nt
Filed under: uncultured bacterium
Lineage: Bacteria
Description: partial 16S ribosomal RNA
Rfam family: Bacterial small subunit ribosomal RNA
Source: RNAcentral